UACGAGGACCCCGAGCGUUAUCCGGAAUUACUGGGCGUAAAGCGUGAGCAUCCGGCUCUGCUAGUCUCAUGUUAAAUCUCAUUGCUCAACGAUGAGGCCGCAUGGGAAACGGCAGGACUAGAGCGGGUAAGAGGCAAGCGGAACGUGCGGUGUAGGGGUGAAAUCCAUUGAUAUCGCACGGAACACCAAAAGCGAAGGCAGCUUGCUAGUGCUCUGCUGACGGUCAAUCACUAAAGCGUGGGGAUCAAAAAGG
RNAcentral lists this ribosomal RNA (253 nucleotides) under uncultured bacterium. RNAcentral describes it as "partial 16S ribosomal RNA". It matches the Rfam family "Bacterial small subunit ribosomal RNA", at positions 524 to 776 of the family's 1533-position model. The record is from RNAcentral.